GAGCUGUACCCACUGUCCCUAUAGUAUCUUUGUAUCUAUCCUCCUGAGUCCUGGAGAGUAGAGAACAGGAGCUCCUACCAGAUCAGCUUCAACUUAAACCAUGUUUUCUUUAUCUUUGUUGCUGCUGACAGCUAGUGUUUGUGUUCAGGGUCAGACAUUGACUGAGUCUGAACCAGUGGUUACAAGCCUGGGGAAUUACACCAACUGACCUGUACAGGCUCUGGGUUCACAUUCAGUAGCUCCUGGAUGGGUUGUGAGAGAUUAUGGGCAUUGGAAACUUAACACGACGCAUAAGUGCUGACUAACUCUGAACAAAGGACAAUAGAUAGGACGUGAUGCUCGUUACUGAUGGGACCUACACAUCCUAUCCAUACAUCCUCUCCAUACCACCUGAUUGGAGUUGUCCAUGUGACUGCCAUAGGCUCUGUAAAUAAGCCCAUAGACCAUAGGUUGGAACAUACCAUAAAAUUAUAUUUUGUAGGAAAAACCUUUCUUAUUGGAAGAAAAUGGACAGUGUAACAGUUGGCUAUAACCACUGACUGCCUGGCAUAAACGACUGUGUUAACUUUGUAAUCAUUGGAGAACAUGUAAGAACUAUGGAAGAUCAACAUCUUGGACUCAUACAAAUAAAGAAAGUUCUCCCCUGGCUUCCAGUUGAAUUCAUUUUGUUCAUGGAUCAAAAGUGGACAGAAUUCAACAGUUGGAUCAAACAGGUUUCUGGAAAAGCACUUGAAUGGAUUGUUUAUAUACAUGGUACCACAGUUAACUUCUCCCCCUUCAGAUGAGCAGCCUAAAGAAUAAGGACACAGCCAUUUAUUACUGUGCCAUAGAGUGACACAGAGAUAACAUACCUGUUUAAUAAGAUGGGUUAAUCCAGUUGAUACCCCAAACAGAGGUAGCUGCAGUGAAAAUGCUAUGUCAUAUUUUGUCCUUGAUCCAUAACUAGAAAAUUAUUCAUGUCUAACAUUGUCAGUGUAUGUACAUCCAGGAAUUCUAUGAACUGCAUUUGCUGAAAUGUUUAGUUUAUGAAGUUCAUUUACAAAGAUGACCUUAUUAGGGCCUUCAGGUUACAAUGUUUGUGUCCAGUAACAAAGUUGUAUCCAGUUUAUAUCUAUUUACUACCCAAUCAAUG
Molecule: long non-coding RNA, 1132 nt
Organism: Esox lucius (northern pike)
Lineage: Eukaryota; Metazoa; Chordata; Actinopteri; Esociformes; Esocidae
Source: Ensembl